GAAGGUUUAGGGGCUCCUCUUUCUCUCACGCACAGUCUCAUGCACGUGUAUCCGUAUAAGCGUUUCAUCUUAGUAUUUAUUCAAAAUAUGUGCCACAUGCUGGGUAAGUGAUGAGGACAAUGGCCCUGCUGGGAGUCCCCCAUUGUCACAUGGAGUCCCCUCCCCAUCCGUGUGGUUAGCGAUCCCCUGGGUAUUUGCAGGUCUGAGGGAUGGCAGAGACGGUUCUCACCGGCUUAAGUGUUCCAGAAAACGGAAGUAGCAAUUCGUAGUUCAUGCUUUCCUGAAUUUUUCUCUCAUUUUUUUCUUUGACUAACAUUUUGAAGGAAAUAGGCACUGGGGUCUGAAAACAUGGAGAUGAGGAGAGACGGGCUGCAGCAGAGGCCUGAGCGGGCCGUGGGGAGAUGCUGCUGUGUUUGCCAGCCUCAGGCGGGAGUUUAGUCUUGAGACAUAGACUCACCUCUAGAAGGGAAGAGGGAAUGCUGUCUUCCCAGGAAAGGACGGCAGGGCGGUCUUCACCCAUCUCCUUCCAGACUUUAUCAGGUAUGCCUGCAGAAGCCGAAUUGGAAUUCAUGGCUGGGCAUCUCUGAAGUUGAUGAGGCUGACAUCUCAUGGACCAACCCUCAACCACUGGGAGACUGGAGCUGCUGGAUAAAUGAUUCUGUCUUCUGUCUCUUGGGCAGAUGAUGCAGAGAUAUUUUAUUCUCUUCUCAUGAUAUCCUGGUGAUGGGAUGGGGAGCUUGAUACCACAUUAUAGUGUGUGUGUGGCAUUGAUGGUACUGGCUUUUCCUCCUUCCCUGUUGACCCUCACUAGCACCUCACUGGCAUCCCUGGUUGACUUCCCAAAAUAAACUACCUGCACACAGUCCUUUUCUAAGGCUGCAUCUUAGGAGGGGGAAGAGGCCACACCAACACAGAUCUCUGUUGGUGGGAGAUCAUGUGGCUGGUUUGAGGAGUUCAGAGUUUGAUAUUAUCCUGGCAUCUCUACACAUGCUAGGUCUAAGAUGUGCUACAGGGGUGUGGAUUGAACAUCACACACCCUAAAAUGAGAGCUGUUGCCAGGAACAGGUGUAUUUCCUGAGAGAGAGUGUAAGGAAGACAAUAACAGAGAGUGCUAAAAACUGAGUUAUGGGGGAAAGGCUAGUGGGAUUGAUUCACCCCAGCAUGCAUUUUCUGUGUGUCUACCACGUGCCAGGAUAUGCCUGGAAGAAGUCUAUAAGGAUGUGGUUUUGACCUCAUGGAGCUUACAGUCUAGGGGAGGAGGCUGACAAACUGAUGGCAGUCCCCCGAAUGAC
RNAcentral lists this long non-coding RNA (1292 nucleotides) under Papio anubis (olive baboon). Its description in RNAcentral is "lncRNA (ENSPANG00000049709.1)". Lineage: Eukaryota; Metazoa; Chordata; Mammalia; Primates; Cercopithecidae. The record is from RNAcentral.